This 41-nucleotide small RNA is filed under the name Arabidopsis thaliana (thale cress). RNAcentral's name for it is "ATSL059610". The record is from RNAcentral. Lineage: Eukaryota; Viridiplantae; Streptophyta; Magnoliopsida; Brassicales; Brassicaceae.
ACCAGUUGUGUUUAUGUUCUGCUUUGUGUUGUCCAUUUUUU